RNAcentral lists this ribosomal RNA (216 nucleotides) under uncultured bacterium. Its description in RNAcentral is "partial 16S ribosomal RNA". It matches the Rfam family "Bacterial small subunit ribosomal RNA", at positions 118 to 351 of the family's 1533-position model. The record is from RNAcentral.
UGGGAACCUGCCCAGUGGUAGGGGAUAACCGCGGGAAACUGCGGCUGAUACCCUAUGUGUCCUAUGGGGCAAAGAUUUAUCGCCAUUGGAGGGGCCCGCGUCGGAUUAGGUAGUUGGUGGGGUAACGGCCUACCAAGCCUACGAUCCGUAGCUGGUCUGAGAGGAUGAUCAGCCACACUGGGACCGAGAUACGGCCCAGACUCCUACGGGAGGCAG